AGUACCGUGAGGGAAAGGCGAAAAGAACCCCGGGAGGGGAAGUGAAAUAGAUCCUGAAACCGCAUGCUUACAAAAAGUAGGAGCCUGGAAACGGGUGACUGCGUACCUUUUGUAUAAUGGGUCAGCGACUUACAUUUCAGUGGCAAGGUUAACCCGAAUAGGGAAGCCGUAGAGAAAUCGAGUCCGAAUAGGGCGAAAUUAGUCGCUGGGUGUAGACCCGAAACCAAGUGAUCUAUCCAUGGCCAGGAUGAAGGUGCCGUAACAGGUACUGGAGGUCCGAACCGACUAGUGUUGCAAAACUAGCGGAUGAGCUGUGGAUAGGGGUGAAAGGCUAAACAAACUUGGAAAAUAGCUGGNUUCUCUCCGAAAACUAUUUAGGUAGUGCCUCAAGUAUUACCGUUGGGGGUAGAGCACUGGAUGGGCUAGGGGGUCGCGAGAUCUACCAAACCUAACCAAACUCCGAAUACCCACAAGUACAGCUCGGGAGACAGACGGCGGGUGCUAAGGUCCGUCGUCAAAAGGGAAACAGCCCUAACCUACAGCUAAGGUCCCCAAGUCAUCACUAAGUGGGGAAAGCAUGUGGGNACUUCCAAAACAACCAGGAGGUUGGCUUAGAAGCAGCCAU
Molecule: ribosomal RNA, 625 nt
Filed under: uncultured bacterium
Lineage: Bacteria
Description: bacterial LSU rRNA
Rfam family: Bacterial large subunit ribosomal RNA
Source: RNAcentral